UCCAGCUUUUCCCUCUGCCCGCUGCAAUUGUCUUUCAGUGACUGUAGGUUAUAAAGGCUUUAAUUGUAUCUACAUUUCCUUCUGGAAGCUGGGUUACUGGUACAAUGCUUUGUUCUUGUGCAUCGCUAAGACGUUUGUACACCGAGGGACUCCUAUCUUGCAGGAUUGUCAUCUCUGGCUGGUCCUCGGAGUGGAGGGGACACAGUGUCUGGAAGAGGAAGGCAGCAUGGAGCUGAGAAGUGACUCUUGAUUCUGUCUCAAACCAGCUCCUCCAGCUAUCUUCCUGGUAUCAGCCCCCCCCACCCCGAACCCUGCCUUCUUGCCUCUGGCCAAAGCCUUGAGUCUUUGUCCCCAUCAAACAGUGUGCAAAGAUGGCAAAGAUGGCUCUCCCAUCUGCGCUCCCGCAGCCCAGCGACCCUGUUCUCGAGAACUGAUGAGGUGCAUCACUUAGGAACCACUAAGAAAGCCACAGCAAGGUUUCUAAUGAAAAGAAGGUGGCAGCCACAGCCCAGCACGGCUGCAUUUGUUUCAGGAGUCCACUGCCAAACGCGCCCCCAGGGAAAAUGGGCCCUGCUCCCCGCCCCCACCGCUGCCACGCUUUAGCGUUUAUACUAAAGUUUUGGUUUUACAAAUUUGGUUUGUAAAGACAUAGGUUUGCAUUCUA
Long non-coding RNA from Mustela lutreola (European mink), 664 nucleotides. RefSeq lists it as uncharacterized. The record is from RefSeq and is a predicted model, not a curated record. NCBI's taxonomy places the organism in Eukaryota, Metazoa, Chordata, Mammalia, Carnivora, Mustelidae. The transcript has 2 exons.